RNAcentral lists this long non-coding RNA (267 nucleotides) under Homo sapiens (human). Its description in RNAcentral is "non-protein coding lnc-PCSK7-2:2". The record is from RNAcentral. Lineage: Eukaryota; Metazoa; Chordata; Mammalia; Primates; Hominidae.
CAGGCUGGCCGCCGCCGUGCCGAUGUAGCGGGCUCCGGAUCCCAGCCUCUCCCCUGCUCCCGUGCUCUGCGGAUCUCCCCUGACCGCUCUCCACAGCCCGGACCCGGGGGCUGGCCCAGGGCCCUGCAGGCCCUGGCGUCCUGAUGCCCCCAAGCUCCCUCUCCUGAGAAGCCACCAGCACCACCCAGACUUGGGGGCAGGCGCCAGGGACGGACGUGGGCCAGUGCGAGCCCAGAGGGCCCGAAGGCCGGGGCCCACCAUGGCCCA